GGCGCGGCGCGCGCCGCGGCGCGGCGUUACUUUCGGCGCGUGAAGUUAACCGCGCGAAAGUGACGAAGUCGUUUCACUCCAUCCUUUUGCAUAUCGCUGUGAAAACGUAACAAACGCAAGGUGGAUCGGCUCCAGAACAAGCGGCAUCGCGAAUCUCUUAAUUGGUAAAUAUAACACGUAUCAACCUUGCCUUGUAAUUCGUUCAAGCGUAUCUGUCAACACUGUUUGAGCGAAGAUCGAAAUCGAUUCGUAACGACAUAUAUGUCAAUCGUGAUCGCGCGAGAAGAAAUCCCUUCGCCAUUUUAAUCGCAUAUUGCCCGUAAUAUCGGAAAGACAGUCGUCGCAUCAUCAAUUAUUUGUGUGGGCAUAUAAGAACGCGUAUGCCAGCAUCGAAUCUCUUUGCACCAUCGUGCUGCACGGAGAGGAUGGCUGGCAGCAAGGAUGCUGCAAAAAGAUUCGGCGUACCGACCGUGCGGCGUGGCGUCACUUUGAGACGCGUGAAGUUGACCGCGCGAGAGUGACGAAGCCAUUUCACUCCACUUUUUUACGUGUCGCUGUUAGAACGUAACGGACGGAAGGUGAAUCGAUUCCGGAACAAGUGGCAUCGCGAAUCACUUAAUUGCAGAUCGUGACAAUCUUGAUAUAAAUCGCUUCCAGGGCGGACGUUGCGAUAUUUAUUUGAUAAUUAAAGAGUCAACGAUGGAUCACAAGGAGUCAACGAUGAAUCAUAAGCCGAUGUAAUCUCGUCGCCGAUUAAAAUGAAAAUAAACGAACCGCAGCCGGUUCGUCGCGUUUGCUUCGGGAGUGCCGUUCAAGUGAAUAAAGGACUAAAAGGACUUUUCAUACAGGGUAAAUUUUAAUGGCUGUCCCAACUUUUUACCGUGAGAGAUGGGAUUACUGAUUGUGAUCUUAGUACACACAUGUAUGACAUGUGCACAUGCAUAUGUCGUACAUAUGUGUACUAAGAUUGCAGUCGGUAAUUCCGUCUUUCAUGGUAAAAAGUUGGGACAGCCAUUGAAAUUCACCUUGUAUAACUCCCAUUCGAAUGAGCUCUUGGUUCGAGAAACCGCUCUUUCCGGGUCGCACUUUGAAAUAUUGACAGUAUUGGACGCUCAUCGAGAUGCUCGACGACCGAUGACGCACCUAAAAAAGCUGGUAAUGGGACGCAGAGGACACGCUGUCACGGUUGUCGAGUUAUUUGAGAUACAC
Molecule: long non-coding RNA, 1209 nt
Organism: Monomorium pharaonis (pharaoh ant)
Lineage: Eukaryota; Metazoa; Arthropoda; Insecta; Hymenoptera; Formicidae
Exons: 3
Source: RefSeq, a predicted model, not a curated record